UUGAUAGGUUCUGAGUUGAAGCUUUCUGUUCUUCUGUCUGUUCUCAGUCGGAGUCGACUCGUACUGAUCUGGAGUCGACUCGAGCUCGUGCCAGUGAACUUGAUACGCUUGGAGUCGACUCGUGAUACUCUGGAGUCGACUCGAGUCUCAGACUUUGGUUCAGGCUGAUUUCUUAACUUAUCCAAAAUACUAUGAACCAAGUCUAGAGACACGUAGACAGGAUUUUCACUGAAACACUUAAUUGAAUUCAUUAGUAAACAAGAAUUAUACUCAAAUGCUUUGAGCUCAUCAAAAUCAAAUGGGGUUUUAAUCAAUCACUCCACAAUCUCCCCCUUUUUGAUGAUGACAAAACAUUGAGUAUAUGUAAAGUGAAUUGCACAAUAAACAAUGAAAUAAAAUCCAUAAAUGAAUUCAAAUGUCUGGUAAUUCAAUUUAUCCAAGCUUGAAAGGAGUGAAACAAUAAAUUUCGGAGUUAAAGCUCCCCCUUUCAUUUGGAAUUAUAUAAGCCUUCGUAUCAUGCAAUCAAUUGUUUGGCUUA
Molecule: long non-coding RNA, 538 nt
Filed under: Phoenix dactylifera (date palm)
Lineage: Eukaryota; Viridiplantae; Streptophyta; Magnoliopsida; Arecales; Arecaceae
Description: long non-coding RNA (PDAC_LNC012732)
Source: RNAcentral